GACGAACCGUGCGAACGUUGUUCGGAUUCACUGGGCUUAAAGGGCGCGUAGGCGGCCACCGCAAGUCGAUUGUGAAAUCUCCGGGCUUAACCCGGAAAGGUCAACCGAUACUGCGGGGCUAGAGUGCGGAGGGGGCAACUGGAAUUCUUGGUGUAGCGGUGAAAUGCGUAGAUAUCAAGAGGAACACCUGCGGCGAAGGCGGGUUGCUGGGCCGACACUGACGCUGAUGCGCGAAAGCUAGGGGAGCGAACGGG
Molecule: ribosomal RNA, 254 nt
Filed under: uncultured bacterium
Lineage: Bacteria
Description: partial 16S ribosomal RNA
Rfam family: Bacterial small subunit ribosomal RNA
Source: RNAcentral